RNAcentral lists this unclassified non-coding RNA (245 nucleotides) under plant metagenome. Its description in RNAcentral is "partial contains small subunit ribosomal RNA, internal transcribed spacer 1, and 5.8S ribosomal RNA". The stretch from base 1 to 54 matches the Rfam family "Eukaryotic small subunit ribosomal RNA", at positions 1778 to 1831 of the family's 1831-position model. The record is from RNAcentral.
GGAAGUAAAAGUCGUAACAAAGUUUCCGUAGGUGAACCUGCGGAAGGAUCAUUAUCAUGUAAUUCAGUCCCCUUGGCUGUGUUAUAUAUAUACCCACUCUGUGUACCUUCUCCUGUUGCUUCCGCUGGGUGUGUAAUUCGCCCGGCGGAAGGGUAAAAAUAACCUCUGAGUAUUGAUGAAAUCUCUGUCUGAACCGAAUAGAAAGAAAAAUGUUAAAACUUUCAGCAACGGAUCUCUUGGUUCUC